Molecule: ribosomal RNA, 498 nt
Filed under: uncultured bacterium
Lineage: Bacteria
Description: partial 16S ribosomal RNA
Rfam family: Bacterial small subunit ribosomal RNA
Source: RNAcentral
AACGAACGCUGGCGGCAGGCUUAACACAUGCAAGUCGAGCGGUAACAGGCCGCAAGGUGCUGACGAGUGGCGAACGGGUGAGUAAUGCAUCGGAACGUGCCCAGUCGUGGGGGACAACGCAGCGAAAGCUGCGCUAAUACCGCAUACGAUCUAUGGAUGAAAGCGGGGGACCGUAAGGCCUCGCGCGAUUGGAGCGGCCGAUGUCAGAUUAGGUAGUUGGUGAGGGAAAGGCUCACCAAGCCAACGAUCUGUAGCUGGUCUGAGAGGACGACCAGCCACACUGGGACGGAGAACCGGCCCAGACUCCUACGGGAGGCAGCAGUGGGGAAUUUUGGACAAUGGGCGCAAGCCUGAUCCAGCAAUGCCGCGUGCAGGAAGAAGGCCUUCGGGUUGUAAACUGCUUUUGUACGGAACGAAACGGUCCGGGCUAAUACCCUGGGCUAAUGACGGUACCGUAAGAAUAAGCACCGGCUAACUACGUGCCAGCCGCCGCGGUAA